This 429-nucleotide ribosomal RNA is filed under the name Gemmatimonadota bacterium. RNAcentral's name for it is "Gemmatimonadetes bacterium partial 16S ribosomal RNA". It matches the Rfam family "Bacterial small subunit ribosomal RNA", at positions 355 to 776 of the family's 1533-position model. Lineage: Bacteria; Pseudomonadati; Gemmatimonadota. The record is from RNAcentral.
UAGGGAAUCUUCGGCAAUGGACGAAAGUCUGACCGAGCAACGCCGCGUGAGUGAAGAAGGUUUCCGGAUCGUAAAACUCUGUUGUUAGAGUAGAACAAGGACGUUAGUAACUGAACGUCCCCUGACGGUAUCUAACCAGAAAGCCACGGCUAACUACGUGCCAGCAGCCGCGGUAAUACGUAGGUGGCAAGCGUUGUCCGGAUUUAUUGGGCGUAAAGCGAGCGCAGGCGGUUUCUUAAGUCUGAUGUGAAAGCCCCCGGCUCAACCGGGGAGGGUCAUUGGAAACUGGGAGACUUGAGUGCAGAAGAGGAGAGUGGAAUUCCAUGUGUAGAGGUGAAAUGCGUAGAUAUAUGGAGGAACACCAGUGGCGAAGGCGGCUCUCUGGUCUGUAACUGACGCUGAGGCUCGAAAGCGUGGGGAGCAAACAGG